UCGAUUGAGUUUGAUCAUGGCUCAGGAUAAACGCUCGCGGCGUGCAUCAAACAUGCAAGUCGAACGUCCCCGCAAGGGGGAGUGGCGUACGGCUGAGGAACACGUCGGUAACCUGUCCUACAAUGGGGAAUACCCCAGCGAAAGCUGGAAUAAUACCGCGUACGCUGCCCGGUGGCAUCACCAGGCAGGAAAGCCGCAAGGCGUUGUAGGAGGGGCCGGCGGGCGAUUAGCUUGUUGGUGGGGUAACGGCCUACCAAGGCGAUGAUCGCUAGCGGGUCUGAGAGGAUGAUCCGCCAGACUGGGACGGAGGACGGCCCAGACACCUACGGGUGGCAGCAGUUAGGAAUUUUGCGCAAUGGGGGAAACCCUGACGCAGCAACGCCGCGUGGAGGACGAAGCCCUGUGGGGUGUAAACUCCUUUUCGGUGGGAAGAUAAUGACGGUACCACCGGAAGAAGCCUCGGCUAACUACGUGCCAGCAGCCGCGGUAAUACGUAGGAGGCAAGCGUUGUCCGGAUUUAUUGGGCGUAAAGCGUGUGUAGGCGGUUUGGUAAGCGUGACGUGAAAGCUCCUGGCUUAACUGGGAGAGGCCGUCACGAACUGCCAGACUUGAGGGUCGGCGAGGGAGAUGGAAUUCCAGGUGGAGUGGUGGAAUGCGUAGAUAUCUGGAGGAACACCAGUGGCGAAAGCGAUCUCCUGGACGACACCUGACGCUGAGGCACGAAAGCGUGGGGAGCGAACUGAAUUAGAUACUCAGG
This 757-nucleotide ribosomal RNA is filed under the name uncultured bacterium. RNAcentral's name for it is "bacterial SSU rRNA". It matches the Rfam family "Bacterial small subunit ribosomal RNA", at positions 1 to 790 of the family's 1533-position model. The record is from RNAcentral.